UAUACCUACGGGGCGCAGCAGUGGGGAAUAUUGCACAAUGGGGGAAACCCUGAUGCAGCAACGCCGCGUGAGUGAAGAAGUCAUUCGUGAUGUAAAGCUCUAUCCGCAGGGAAGAAAAUGACGGUACCUGAGUAAGAAGCCCCGGCUAACUACGUGCCAGCAGCCGCGGUAAUACGUAGGGGGCAAGCGUUAUCCGGAUUUACUGGGUGUAAAGGGAGCGUAGACGGCAUGGCAAGUCUGAAGUGAA
This 247-nucleotide ribosomal RNA is filed under the name uncultured bacterium. Its description in RNAcentral is "partial 16S ribosomal RNA". It matches the Rfam family "Bacterial small subunit ribosomal RNA", at positions 334 to 598 of the family's 1533-position model. The record is from RNAcentral.